GGGUGUGAAGGUGAUCUGGCUAGCUAGGCAGGUGUCCCCUUCCUCCCUCACUGCUCCAUAUGCGUCCUUCCAGAAGCUGAGAACUCCAUCAAAGAGGAAGGCCUUCCCUGAAUAGAGACGGACAGGUCUUCAGUGAGGGUAUGCAGAGUAGCUGCGCUCCCCUCCUAGAAAUUCCAAAUAAGCUCUCAAGAAUAUGAAAGUAAAAUAUCCAUAUCCACUUAUUAAAAAAAAAAAAAAAGCAGU
Molecule: small nuclear RNA, 243 nt
Filed under: Erinaceus europaeus (western European hedgehog)
Lineage: Eukaryota; Metazoa; Chordata; Mammalia; Eulipotyphla; Erinaceidae
Description: 7SK RNA
Rfam family: 7SK RNA
About the family: 7SK was discovered as an abundant small nuclear RNA in the mid-70s but a possible function has only recently been suggested. Two independent studies have found that 7SK RNA binds the CDK9/cyclin T complex (known as elongation factor P-TEFb). P-TEFb activates transcription by phosphorylating the C-terminal domain of RNA polymerase II.
Source: Rfam by way of RNAcentral